This 279-nucleotide ribosomal RNA is filed under the name uncultured bacterium. Its description in RNAcentral is "partial 16S ribosomal RNA". It matches the Rfam family "Bacterial small subunit ribosomal RNA", at positions 506 to 784 of the family's 1533-position model. The record is from RNAcentral.
UGCCAGCCGCCGCGGUAAGACGGAGGGGGCUAGCGUUGUUCGGAAUCACUGGGCGUAAAGCGCGCGUAGGCGGCUGAUCAAGUUGGGCGUGAAAGCCCGGGGCUCAACCCCGGAACUGCGCCCAAAACUGGUCAGCUAGAGACCGAGAGAGGGUGGUGGAAUUCCCAGUGUAGAGGUGAAAUUCGUAGAUAUUGGGAAGAACACCAGUGGCGAAGGCGGCCACCUGGCUCGGUUCUGACGCUGAGGUGCGAAAGCGUGGGGAGCAAACAGGAUUAGAUA